RNAcentral lists this unclassified non-coding RNA (301 nucleotides) under Hevea brasiliensis (rubber tree). Lineage: Eukaryota; Viridiplantae; Streptophyta; Magnoliopsida; Malpighiales; Euphorbiaceae. The record is from RNAcentral.
GUCCAAAACUGGUUGUAUGCUCCCUGUAUACAUCAGUAUACACUAGUAUACACCAUGAAAAUAUUAAUAUACAGGUCAAAAUGCAACAAACAAUAGACAAAAACAAAGAUACAGGUUUGAGGCAUCAAGGUGGACUGUACACAGUCGAUAUAUGGGUCGAUAUACAAGAAGUGGUGCUAAUAUGCAAGGUGUAUUACUGAUAUACGGCUUUUGUAUACAAAAAUGGGUUUUGAUUAAAACCCCAAAAGUAGCAGCAAAUUCGGCUAAGAAAGUCCAAGUUCAUCUUCUCCUUUAUUCCCUU